UGCUGGAGGUAUCAGAAGUGCGAAUGCUGACAUAAGUAACGAUAAAGCGGGUGAAAAGCCCGCUCGCCGGAAGACCAAGGGUUCCUGUCCAACGUUAAUCGGGGCAGGGUGAGUCGACCCCUAAGGCGAGGCCGAAAGGCGUAGUCGAUGGGAAACGGGUUAAUAUUCCCGUACUUGGUGUUACUGCGAAGGGGGGACGGAGAAGGCUAUGUUGGCCGGGCGACGGUUGUCCCGGUUUAAGCGUGUAGGUGUGUGUUCCAGGUAAAUCCGGUUCACUUUAACACUGAGGCGUGAUGACGAGGCACUACGGUGCUGAAGCAACAAAUGCCCUGCUUCCAGGAAAAGCCUCUAAGCAUCAGGUAACAUCAAAUCGUACCCCAAACCGACACAGGUGGUCAGGUAGAGAAUACCAAGGCGCUUGAGAGAACUCGGGUGAAGGAACUAGGCAAAAUGGUGCCGUAACUUCGGGAGAAGGCACGCUGACACGUAGGUGAAGUGAUUUACUCAUGGAGCUGAAGUCAGUCGAAGAUACCAGCUGGCUGCAACUGUUUAUUAAAAACACAGCACUGUGCAAACACGAAAGUGGACGUAUACGGUGUGACGCCUGCCCGGUGCCGGAAGGUUAAUUGAUGGGGUCAGCGCAAGCGAAGCUCCUGAUCGAAGCCCCGGUAAACGGCGGCCGUAACUAUAACGGUCCUAAGGUAGCGAAAUUCCUUGUCGGGUAAGUUCCGACCUGCACGAAUGGCGUAAUGAUGGCCAGGCUGUCUCCACCCGAGACUCAGUGAAAUUGAACUCGCUGUGAAGAUGCAGUGUACCCGCGGCAAGACGGAAAGACCCCGUGAACCUUUACUAUAGCUUGACACUGAACAUUGAGCCUUGAUGUGUAGGAUAGGUGGGAGGCUUUGAAGUGUGGACGCCAGUCUGCAUGGAGCCGACCUUGAAAUACCACCCUUUAAUGUUUGAUGUUCUAACGUGGACCCGUAAUCCGGGUUGCGGACAGUGUCUGGUGGGUAGUUUGACUGGGGCGGUCUCCUCCUAAAGAGUAACGGAGGAGCACGAAGGUUGGCUAAUCCUGGUCGGACAUCAGGAGGUUAGUGCAAUGGCAUAAGCCAGCUUGACUGCGAGCGUGACGGCGCGAGCAGGUGCGAAAGCAGGUCAUAGUGAUCCGGUGGUUCUGAAUGGAAGGGCCAUCGCUCAACGGAUAAAAGGUACUCCGGGGAUAACAGGCUGAUACCGCCCAAGAGUUCAUAUCGACGGCGGUGUUUGGCACCUCGAUGUCGGCUCAUCACAUCCUGGGGCUGAAGUAGGUCCCAAGGGUAUGGCUGUUCGCCAUUUAAAGUGGUACGCGAGCUGGGUUUAGAACGUCGUGAGACAGUUCGGUCCCUAUCUGCCGUGGGCGCUGGAGAACUGAGGGGGGCUGCUCCUAGUACGAGAGGACCGGAGUGGACGCAUCACUGGUGUUCGGGUUGUCAUGCCAAUGGCACUGCCCGGUAGCUAAAUGCGGAAGAGAUAAGUGCUGAAAGCAUCUAAGCACGAAACUUGCCCCGAGAUGAGUUCUCCCUGAGACUU
RNAcentral lists this ribosomal RNA (1569 nucleotides) under Salmonella enterica. RNAcentral's name for it is "partial 23S ribosomal RNA". It matches the Rfam family "Bacterial large subunit ribosomal RNA", at positions 1271 to 2823 of the family's 2925-position model. The record is from RNAcentral. Lineage: Bacteria; Pseudomonadati; Pseudomonadota; Gammaproteobacteria; Enterobacterales; Enterobacteriaceae. RNAcentral also lists the same sequence under 1 other name.